UAACGAGUUCCUCUUCCUAACCGAGACCUAUGGGGAGGUUAAACACAGUCUCUCAUAUCCCCGCUAAGGGUGCGGGGAGCAUAGUAUCUCCA
RNAcentral lists this non-coding RNA (92 nucleotides) under unclassified sequences. RNAcentral describes it as "PhotoRC-II RNA". It matches the Rfam family "PhotoRC-II RNA". The record is from RNAcentral.